AACGUGGCUCAUAAGAAAUGAAAG
RNAcentral lists this non-coding RNA (24 nucleotides) under Arabidopsis thaliana (thale cress). The record is from RNAcentral. Lineage: Eukaryota; Viridiplantae; Streptophyta; Magnoliopsida; Brassicales; Brassicaceae.